CAGCCGCCGCGGGAAUACGAAGGGUGCAAGCGUUAAUCGGAAUUACUGGGCGUAAAGCGUGCGUAGGCGGUGAGUUAAGUCUGCUGUGAAAUCCCCGGGCUCAACCUGGGAAUGGCAGUGGAUACUGGCUCGCUAGAGUGUGUCAGAGGAUGGUGGAAUUCCCGGUGUAGCGGUGAAAUGCGUAGAGAUCGGGAGGAACAUCAGUGGCGAAGGCGGCCAUCUGGGACAACACUGACGCUGAGGCACGAAAGCGUGGGGAGCAAGCAGGAUUAGAUACCCCAGUAGUCCCUGUCUCUUAUAC
This 301-nucleotide ribosomal RNA is filed under the name uncultured bacterium. RNAcentral's name for it is "partial 16S ribosomal RNA". It matches the Rfam family "Bacterial small subunit ribosomal RNA", at positions 509 to 807 of the family's 1533-position model. The record is from RNAcentral.